Molecule: long non-coding RNA, 725 nt
Organism: Rhincodon typus (whale shark)
Lineage: Eukaryota; Metazoa; Chordata; Chondrichthyes; Orectolobiformes; Rhincodontidae
Exons: 3
Source: RefSeq, a predicted model, not a curated record
UGUCCACAGCAGGGAGCUCCAUUUGUCUGGGCUGCCUGUGAUGGUUGCAGAUUAGUAUGGUUUCAUCUAGAGGACAUCUGAGCCUCAGUUUUAUAUUUUUGCAUGUUCAGGGACACUGAGGUACGAAGAGGAAGAACUGAGGGACUGGAGAACAAGCUGACAACUUCACUUCGAAGAUGCAUGGGCUACAAGCAGCUGGCUCCAUAUUCUUUACCUAAUUUGUAUCCCACCCUGGAAAUUCGCCUUGAAUCAACGUGCUGUUGUAUUGUAAUCCAGAGAUCUAAGUAAGGUUCUGAGGACUAAAAUGGUGAAUUUUGAUUUCAAUAAAAUCUGGAAUGAAAGGUCUAACAAUGACCAUGAAACUGUUGUCAUACUGCCAUCCCUGCUUGGUCUGGCCUACGCAGCGAUGUGGAUGGCUUGUGACUAUCCUCUGAAACGGCCCAGCAACCCAGUCAGUUGUGUGAAAUACUAAAAAGUUUUGAAAAUGGGAUGAAACCAAGUGGGCCAUCUGGUAUUGACUAAAGCACCAGAAACGAUAACGGCAAACCAAAAUUAACAUUAAAAAUCAACAAAAGCCUGAUGUAAUCAUUCUCAGGUUAGAUGUUAAGAAUCCUACAGUGACCUUUAUCUCCUGACUUUCCAAAGCCUGUCCCACCAUCUACAAGGCGCAAGUCAGGAGUGUGAUGGAAUGCUCCCCACUUGCCUGGAUGGGUGCAGCCCCAACA